This 2346-nucleotide long non-coding RNA is filed under the name Ooceraea biroi (clonal raider ant). RNAcentral describes it as "uncharacterized LOC105282419". The record is from RNAcentral. Lineage: Eukaryota; Metazoa; Arthropoda; Insecta; Hymenoptera; Formicidae.
CAUUUCAACUGCAGCCAAUUGCGUAGGGUGAAUGGUGAAGUGAAGUGGAGUACGCUCUUGUGGAAUGACGUCAAGAAGUCGUAAUCGUCCGCGUCGAUAUCACCGUGCGGAACAAAGUUUCGCGCCGCGAUAAGUUGCCCGAAGUCGCUGGCGAUAGGAGGCUCUAUUAAGGACACACGAGAUUAAUUGUCCGCCACCUGAUCGUAUCGGCCGAUACCUCACGACGACACGUACAUCGAAGCUCUUUCCUCUUCCGAUGCACCACCAUGUCAGGGUUGAACAACGAUUGCGCAAGCUAGAGUCCGGUGUUUCCAAAGUUCUGAACUGAACACUCGUCUGCUAUCCCACGAAGUCGAAGCUGAAGUUUCACGUUUCCGUCGUCCUCGUCUUCCCGGAACAGGGAGGAAAGGUGAGAGGUACGUCAGAGAAGGGCUGAAGGCACCUACGAAGAAUGGACUAGUGUGAGUUCCUGGAUAGGGCGAGUUUCCAGGGAGAAACCGGGAGGAAUGCGUUGAAAGAUAGGAGGACAGCCAGGAUGGCGGCGGUAUUCACUACAAAAUCACUACAUCCACCUUCCUUCAUUGCGAAUAUCCCACGAAACUUUCAGCGUAGUUGAAAUUGUGCUGAAGCACUGCUCAUUACAUUUUCAUUCAUGUGGCAGUUAUUAAAUCCACCACUUCUACCUUUUUUAGAUUGCUUCUUGUUUCUUUGAGACAUGUGAUCGCGUUACAAACCAGAAAAUUAUGAUACCUAAGAAUUUUGUGCAGCUAUUCACGAUAUAAUAUCGUAAACUAGCACUUGCAAUGCGUGUACAUAAAAAAUGAUGCAUAAAAAAUGCAUGGAUAUAAAAAAUGAUAAAAAAUUGUGAAUAUAGCAAACGUUGUACCCUGUAAUGAAUCAAAUUUUAAAGGAUUAAAUAUACCUUUCUCGUGGCUUUUUGUAUUAACGAAGUUUGACGUGACAUUAAAAGACAUGCAUGAAUUUCUACAUAAUCUUUGAGCGUGGUAGCAUUGCUUCCAAUAUUACGUCAAUAUUACGUUUAUUUCUAAAUUCCCUCCAAAGCUGUCGUCUUUGAAGUCUUUUACUCGCCUUGGUGAAAUUAUUACGUCUGUCACGCGAGUAGAUGGUCUUAAAGAAUCUGUAUUAUAUAAAAAAGUACAUUAGCGGGAGAGCGAAAGCCAUAUAUCGUCGACGUGAUGUUUAUAGGCACGUCGGGACGUGAUCUGAAAAAUAAGUUUUGCAUUCGUCAUUUUGAGAUAAAUGUAAAACGCAGUGGCACAAGGGUCUCGUAAAUUCUCUUCUAUUCACCUACAUUUAUUUCGUAUUUCUUUUCACGGGACUUCUACAAUUUUAUUAUUCUACUUUAGAGAGCGAGAGAGAAAGAGAAAAUAUAUAUCGAGUUAAUGCGACGACUAAAACGAUACAUAUCGGGAAAAUUACGUUCGAGAAAAUCGUUUCUUCGAUUUCAAAUUUUAUUCCGAGGUUAUGUAAAGAUCCAUACACGUCUUUUUACGCCACGUUAAAAUUCGUUAACACAAAAAGACAUGAGAAAUGCAUGUCUAAUCCUAUAAAAUUUGAUUCAUUACAAAAUAAUGUUUGAUAUAUUCACAAUUUUUAUGUCUAUGCAUGUAUAUAUAUUGCAAGUGCUAUUUUAUCAUAACAUAUCAUUUGCACUUCUGUUUUGUACAGUUUAAAAUACUUUCAACUCAUUAUUAUAAAUGGCAGAUUUUAAACAUGUAUGAUCUGUUAGAUUAAAUAUAAAAUACAAAAUAAAACAGAAUGAUAUUUAUUCGACGAUCAAAAAGUCGCCACAAUUUUUAGCUGCGUGGCAAAUUAUGCGGCACUUGGAAAGUUAAUCGUAGAAGAUUUACGAGCAAAAGCACCGAAUGCAGCUUGAGAAGCUAUUCAACACAGGCGCUCUUGCACAUCUCGUAGGUGUUUGGUUUACUCGAUAAUGCGAGAGAUCUGAAAAUGCGAUGAGAAUGGGUAAUAUUUCUUAGAUAGGAGGGUGGGCAAGGUAUAUCGUUCGGUAUCGCGCGGCACCGCGCUGAAAUUUUACGAUGUCGAUAGGUGCGUACGCGUUUCCGAUAUGCUUAUCUGACGUGCACGUCAGAACCGACAGGCACAAUUGCGUUGGAAGGGCCACGGGCUCCCUUAUGAAAGAUUGGUAUUGUAAUUGAAUUGCUGCGAUCCCCGUGGCCAUGUUGGCUGGACGCACGCGAAGAAUGUCUACGAUUUAUGAGAUUCCGCAGGAUACCUUCGGGCUAAAAGCGUGCUCGGAGUAUGAAGCGCGAUUCCACGCUGUAUGGAAUUUUUGCAAUAAAACGAGCUGAACGGCGGCGAUAG